UGGGCAUCGGUGUCUUUCGAAAGAGUUCGAUCGCAGCUCCAGUUCGACGCUGGCGGGAUGUACACACUGCAAGUCGAACGGCAGCACGGACUUCGGUCGGUGGCGAGUGUGAACGGGUGAGUAAUGUAUCGGAACGUGCUGGUGGCGGGGAUAACUGCGCGGCAGCUAUGCCAGCGCGCCAGGAAAGCGGGGGGCCUUCGGGCCUGCACUAAUAGAAACGGCCGAUGUCGGAUUGGCUAGUUGGUGGGGGUAACGGCUCACCAAGGCGACGAUCCGUAGCUGGUUUGAAGGACGACCAGCCACACUGGGACUGAGACACGGCCCAGACUCUACAGGAGGCAGCGGUAGGGAAUUUUGGACAAUGGAAACCUGAUCCAGCCAUCCCGCGUGUGCGAUGAAGGCCUUCAGGGUUAAAGCACUUUUGGCAGAAAGAAGCAGCGUCAUCCCGUAUGUGGCAGUACCUGCAGAAUAAGCACCAGCUAACUCGUGCCAGCAGCCGCGGUAAUACGUAGGGUGCAAGCGUUAUCCAGAUCACUAAGGGCGUAAAGUAUGCUGAAGCGGUUCUGAAGAAAGAUCUCUCUAAUCCAGAAAGCAACUUUGAACUGCAUUUUUAACUACCGAGCUGAAAGUGUCAGAGGUGGAGAUUGCAAUGUAGCAGUGAAAUGCGUAGAUAUACGGGAGGAACACCGAUGGCGAAGGCAGCCUCCUGGGAUAACACUGACGCUCUUGCAUGAUGGGGGCAAACAGGAUUAGAUACCUGGUAGUCUACGCCCUGGUAACGAUGUCGCUAACUGUUGGGGCCUUCGGGCCUUAGUAGCGCAGCUAACAGCAUGAAGUUGACCACGCCUGGGAAUGCAGAUCACUUAAGAUUAAAACUCAAAGGAAUUGGCGGGGACCCACACAGCGGUGGAUGAUGAGUUAGUUCAUUGCAACUACGAAAAACCUUACUACAUAACGUAACUCACGGAAUCCCGAAGAGAUUGCGGUGCACCAAGAGAACCCGGAGCCACAGGUGCUGCAUGGCUGUCGUCAGCUGUCGUGUGGAUGUUGGGUUAAGUCCCGCAACGAGCGCAACCACUGUCGGUGGUUGCUGCAGGGCACUCUGUCGGACUGCCGGUGACCGAACCGGAGAAGGUGGGGAUGACGUCAAGUCCUCCUGGCCCUUAUGGGUGACUUCACGUCAUACAAUGGUCAGGACUGAAGGUCGCCCAGCGAGAAGACCAAUCCCAGAAACCCGAUCGUAGUCCGGAUCAUGAUCUGCAACUCGACUGCGUGAAGUCGGAAUCGCUAGUAAUCGCGGAUCAACGUAUGCAGUGAAUACGUUCCCGGGUCUUGUACCACCGCCCGUCACACCAUGGGAGUGGGUUUUACCGAAGUAGUUAGCCUAACCGUAAGGAGGGCGAUUACCACGGUAGGAUUCAUGACUGGGGUGAUCGUAACAAGGUAG
RNAcentral lists this ribosomal RNA (1447 nucleotides) under uncultured Bordetella sp. Its description in RNAcentral is "partial 16S-23S ribosomal RNA intergenic spacer". It matches the Rfam family "Bacterial small subunit ribosomal RNA". The record is from RNAcentral. Lineage: Bacteria; Pseudomonadati; Pseudomonadota; Betaproteobacteria; Burkholderiales; Alcaligenaceae.